Molecule: ribosomal RNA, 253 nt
Filed under: uncultured bacterium
Lineage: Bacteria
Description: partial 16S ribosomal RNA
Rfam family: Bacterial small subunit ribosomal RNA
Source: RNAcentral
UACGUAGGGUGCGAGCGUUGUCCGGAAUCACUGGGCGUAAAGAGCGCGUAGGUGGUUUGUCGCGUUGUGCGUGAAAACCGGGGGCUUAACCCUCGGCGUGCGGGCGAUACGGGCAGACUUGAGUACUGCAGGGGAGACUGGAAUUCCUGGUGUAGCGGUGAAAUGCGUAGAUAUCGGGAGGAACACCAGUGGCGAAGGCGGCUUCCUGGCCUGUUCUUGACGCUGAGGCGCGAAAGCUAGGGGAGCAAACGGG